UACGUAGGGGGCAAGCGUUGUCCGGAAUUACUGGGCGUAAAGCGCGCGUAGGCGGAUUUGCAAGUUGGGGGUGAAAGCCCGAGGCUCAACCUCGGAACUGCCCUCGAUACUGCAAAUCUCGAGUCCGAGAGAGGUGAGUGGAAUUCCUAGUGUAGAGGUGAAAUUCGUAGAUAUUAGGAAGAACACCAGUGGCGAAGGCGGCUCACUGGUCCGGUACUGACGCUGAGGUGCGAAAGCGUGGGGAGCAAACAGG
RNAcentral lists this ribosomal RNA (253 nucleotides) under uncultured bacterium. Its description in RNAcentral is "partial 16S ribosomal RNA". It matches the Rfam family "Bacterial small subunit ribosomal RNA", at positions 524 to 776 of the family's 1533-position model. The record is from RNAcentral.